GACGAACGCUGGCGGCGGGCUUAACACAUGCAAGUCGAAUGGAAAGGCCCUGCAUUUGUGGGGUGCUCGGACGGCGAACGGGUGAGUAACAAGUGAGUAACCUGCCCUCUACUUUGGGAUAACUUCAGGAAACUGGGGCUAAUAACGGAUCGGAGCGCCUCCUGACCGGUGGGGGUUGGAAAGUUUCGGCGGGAGGGGAUGGACUCGCGGCUUAUCAGCGUGUUGGGGGGGUAGUGGCUGACCAAGGCUGUGACGGGUAGCCGGCAUGUGAGGGUGACCGGGCACAAGGGGACUGAGAGACGGACCAGACUGCUACGGGAGGCAGCAGUGGGGAGUAUUGCGCAAUGGGCGGAAGCGUGAGGCAGCAGCGCCGCGGGUGGAAAGACGGCCUUCGGGGUAGAAAGCGCGUAAACCUGAGACGAAGCGUCAGUGACGGUAAUGGGUGAAGAAGCACCGGCUAACUACGUG
This 468-nucleotide ribosomal RNA is filed under the name uncultured bacterium. RNAcentral's name for it is "partial 16S ribosomal RNA". It matches the Rfam family "Bacterial small subunit ribosomal RNA", at positions 28 to 507 of the family's 1533-position model. The record is from RNAcentral.